AGUUUGCACCUGCGUAGCAAGCGCAAAGGGCUGGAAAAGAUGAGGGAUAGAUCCUGCGCGCCUGUAAAGAAGAAUGGAGCAAAUGUAGGGAAAGGGAGCGCUUUUAGUUUUAUUCGUACUCAUCUUGGUCAUAGCCAACAAGCCCGGGCUACUUACCCUUAUACACCGUAGCAAGAGUAUUUUGGUUUACCUGUGUUGCUGUAAAACAUGAAGAGAAUGGGGCGAGGUAUUAUACAAGAUGGCGGACAAACCUAACAAGAAAGUCCACCCAUCUCAAAGCAGACAAAGCACGUUUGCCUUUCGUAUCAUCAACCCUGAACUCUUUAUAAAGCCGAAUAAAGUCGUGAUGACUUUUGGACUGGUGUCCAUCGUAGGCUGUAUCCUUUACUUGGGCUACAUGAACAUGGUGUCUGGACUUGGAGAAAAACAAACUGUGUCUGUUAAAGUACAAAAUACUCCACCGAGGAAAAGCAAAUGGGACUAGUGCUUGACUAAAAACAUCCCCAGGGUCUUCCCCUCAUACCCCCCUUGGGGUUAGGGGAGGGUGGGACUCUGGGAACGAGGAUGGACUAAAAAUUGAUGGUUCCAAGAGAGGCUCAUCGGAAAAUCUCCUGUCUGUCAUAAAGAGUGAAGCCACUGUUGUAUAAUCUGCAGAUAAAUAUGCAUGAUGGCCUGACAUGUUAUUUUAAGGCAGGCUUGUACCCAGGGGGGGAUGGCACCCCACACAAUGCGAAAAGUCCACUUUAGGUUUGCAAAAGACAUGCUAAUUGUAGACAAAACUAUAAAGCAUAAGCGAAUUAGAUAACUCUGAUGUGUCAUAAAUGUAAAAGUCACCCUUUUUGUAGCUGAAUCCGAUAAUAGACGUCACAUGAAAAUAAUUCAAUGUGUUAAAUAAAUCCAAUUUUGUUCCUUUGUUGGUGGUAAGAUUUUAUCAGAAUACUCACUCACUCCCCCCCCACCCCCCCGGAAAAAUUUGCACUCCCCCAAGAAAAAUCCUAGGUACCAGCCUGUAAAUGCAGGCAUUUUGUAUUGUGUUAGUAUUUUGAAACACCUGCCUUAGGCAAUUGUAUGCAGGCUACAGGAUCUCUGGAUUUCGAAGUGUAGAGUCAGAGUAUUUAGCAAAACAAUAUAGGGAUUCAGCUGAACUUUAUUUCAAGGACAUAGAAGUAAUAUUUGGUUUCUCCCUGCUGCAUCUCACAAAGAAAUAACUUCAAAUCAAUUGCUUGAUAAUCUAAACGGCCAGAGGAGUGAAUAUUGACUGUAUUUCAAACAGAUAUUUGGCUUAAAUGCAGCUAUACUUGAUUGUAGGGAAUAAAGCAUUAAGCUUUAAACUGUUUAGCCCAAAAAUAUCAUAGGGUAUUUUUUAUUUCUUAUUGCUAUCCAAAGCCUAAACUAGUAAAAAAAAACAUUGCUAUUUCACCAGAAGAAGCUGGUAAAUAUAAGUCAAAAUCUUUAGCUUGCACACAAACGAACUACCUUUGGACUAUUUAGCAGUUGUUUAAAAUUGUCUUUCUGAUUAAAUCAUAUCAUGAAUAAACCAUUAAAACUGC
Long non-coding RNA from Nematostella vectensis (starlet sea anemone), 1550 nucleotides. RefSeq lists it as uncharacterized. The transcript is spliced from 2 exons. Lineage: Eukaryota; Metazoa; Cnidaria; Anthozoa; Actiniaria; Edwardsiidae. The record is from RefSeq and is a predicted model, not a curated record.